Molecule: ribosomal RNA, 406 nt
Filed under: uncultured bacterium
Lineage: Bacteria
Description: partial 16S ribosomal RNA
Rfam family: Bacterial small subunit ribosomal RNA
Source: RNAcentral
AUUGAACGCUGGCGGCAUGCCUAACACAUGCAAGUCGAACGAGUGGCGGACGGGUGAGUAAUGUAUCGGAACGUGCCUAAUGGCGGGGGAUGACUACUGGAAAGAGUGGCUAAUACCGCAUACUAUUGGAUCUGCCGAGAUGGGAUUAGCUAGUUGGUGGGGUAACGGCUCACCAAGGGGACGAUCCCGAGCUGGUCUGAGAGGAAGACCAGCCACACUGGGACUGAGACACGGCCCAGACUCCUACGGGAGGCAGCAGUGGGGAAUGUUGGACAAGGGUCGAAAGCCUGAUCCAGCCAUCCCGCGUGUAUGAAGAAGGCCUUCGGGUUGUAAAGUACUUUUGGCAGAGAAGCGGUAUCUGCAGAAAAAGCACCGGCUAACUACGUGCCAGCAGCCGCGGUAAUAC